This 21-nucleotide non-coding RNA is filed under the name Caenorhabditis elegans. The record is from RNAcentral. Lineage: Eukaryota; Metazoa; Nematoda; Chromadorea; Rhabditida; Rhabditidae.
UCCACGGCACGAAUUUACUAA